UGAGUACGAGACGCUAAGGCGUCGAAGUAGUGGAUGUCAUACUUCCAAGAAAAGAUUGCACUGUCAUAAAUAAAAUGCCUGUACCAUAACCGACACAGGUGGGUAAGUAGAGUAUACUAAGGGGCGCGAGAUAACUCUCUCUAAGGAACUCGGCAAAAUAACUCCGUAACUUCGGGAGAAGGAGUGCCUUAUUCUUAAGGUUGCAAUAACAAGAUCCAAGCAACUGUUUAUCAAAAACACAGGUCUCCGCUAAGUCGUAAGACGAUGUAUGGGGGCUGACGCCUGCCCAGUGCCAGAAGGUUAAAGAAGUCGGUUAGCAAUAGCAAAGCUGGUAACUGAAGCCCUGGUGAACGGCGGCCGUAACUAUAACGGUCCUAAGGUAGCGAAAUUCCUUGUCGGGUAAGUUCCGACCCGCACGAAAGGCGUAAUGAUUUGGAUGCUGUCUCAGAGAGGGGCUCGGUGAGAUAGACUUGUCUGUGAAGAUGCGGACUACCUGCACCAGGACAGAAAGACCCUAUGAAGCUUUACUGUAACUUGAAAUUGAAAUUGGACUUUAUUCGCGCAGUAUAGGUGGGAGGCGUUGAUUAUAAUCUUGUGGGAUUAUUGGAGCCAUCAGUGAGAUACCACUCUUGUAAUGUUAGAUUUCUAACUUUGAAUCAUUAUCUGGUCAAAGGACAGUUUCAGGCGGGCAGUUUGACUGGGGCGGUCGCCUCCUAAACGGUAACGGAGGCGUACAAAGGUUUCCUCUGAACGGUUAGAAAUCGUAUCUAGAGUGUAAAGGCAUAAGGAAGCUUGACUGUGAGACCUACAAGUCGAGCAGGGACGAAAGUCGGUCUUAGUGAUCUGACGGUACUGAGUGGAAAGGCCGUCACUCAACGGAUAAAAGUUACUCUAAGGAUAACAGGCUGAUCUCCCCCAAGAGUUCACAUCGACGGGGAGGUUUGGCACCUCGAUGUCGGCUCAUCGCAUCCUGGGGCGGUAGUACGUCCCAAGGGUUGGGCUGUUCGCCCAUGAAAGCGGUACGCGAGCUGGGUUCAGAACGUCGUGAGACAGUUCGGUCCAUAUCCGGUGUAGGCGCUAGAAUAUUGAGAGGAGCCUUCUUUAGUACGAGAGGACCGAGAAGGACAUACCUCUGGUGUACCAGUUAUCGUGCCAACGGUAAACGCUGGGUAGCUAUGUAUGGAGUGGAUAACCGCUGAAAGCAUCUAAGUGGGAAGCCCACCUCAAGAUAAGUAUUCUCAUCACGUAAGUGAGUAAGGUCACGGUAAGACUAACCGUUUGAUAGGCAUUAAGUGUAAGUACAGUAAUGUAUGUGCUGAGAUGUCCUAAUAGACCGAGGACUUG
Molecule: ribosomal RNA, 1344 nt
Filed under: metagenome
Description: bacterial LSU rRNA
Rfam family: Bacterial large subunit ribosomal RNA
Source: RNAcentral